AACGCACCACAUGCUUAUUAUGCAUAUCAAUUUUGGAACCUGACAGAAGUAGGAGACAUUACAGGAAGAUGAUGUUCAGAGUGCACAGUGUUUGACGUGGUUCUAACAACUGGCCCAUAAAUUCAUAGGAUGAAGUACAAUAGUCAAUA
Molecule: long non-coding RNA, 149 nt
Organism: Thalassophryne amazonica
Lineage: Eukaryota; Metazoa; Chordata; Actinopteri; Batrachoidiformes; Batrachoididae
Exons: 3
Source: RefSeq, a predicted model, not a curated record